CCUACGGGUGGCAGCAGUGAGGAAUAUUGGUCAAUGGACGAGAGUCUGAACCAGCCACGUCGCGUGAAGGAUGACUGCCCUAUGGGUUGUAAACUUCUUUUAUAUGGGAAUAAAACGUUCCACGUGUGGGGUUUUGUAUGUACCAUAUGAAUAAGGAUCGGCUAACUCCGUGCCAGCAGCCGCGGUAAUACGGAGGAUCCGAGCGUUAUCCGGAUUUAUUGGGUUUAAAGGGAGCGUAGGUGGAUUGUUAAGUCAGUUGUGAAAGUUUGCGGCGCAACCGUAAAAUUGCAGUUGAAACUGGCAGUCUUGAGUACAGGAGAGGUGGGCGGAAUUCGUGGUGUAGCGGUGAAAUGCUUAGAUAUCACGAAGAACUCCGAUUGCGAAGGCAGUUCACUGGACUGCAACUGACACUGAGGCGCGAAAGUGUGGGUAUCAAACAGGAUUAGAUACCCCAGUAGUC
Molecule: ribosomal RNA, 460 nt
Filed under: uncultured bacterium
Lineage: Bacteria
Description: partial 16S ribosomal RNA
Rfam family: Bacterial small subunit ribosomal RNA
Source: RNAcentral